Molecule: long non-coding RNA, 925 nt
Organism: Megalobrama amblycephala (Wuchang bream)
Lineage: Eukaryota; Metazoa; Chordata; Actinopteri; Cypriniformes; Xenocyprididae
Exons: 4
Source: RefSeq, a predicted model, not a curated record
UUACGGAGUGCUGUAUUUGUGAUACUUAAUGCAACAGUGCUGUACUUUACAUAUCUGUAUAAUACUUAUAAUAUCAUUGUUGUUCUAAGUUGAUUAAACCUAUUUAAUUGCAAGCAAAAGUUUAACAGAUCUAAAAAAUAAUUUGAAUUCAUAUUCAGUUAAAAUACAUUUAAUUUUAAUCAGACUAAACUAUAAAAUAAUUGAAUUUCAGUUAGGUGAAUGAGUCAAGUUCUGUAAACUUACAGUCUAACUACAACAAUGAAUUAGAAAAACUUCCAACUUGAACAAAUUUAAUCAUGCGCAUGCGCCACAAUACAACGUCAUGACGGCGCAUUACUUCACCAGAGUUUGAAAAAUGCACCUUCAGCCAUCUUUCUGUGAUCGCGAUGCGCGAGGCAACUUUGCUGAUCAAAGAAGAAAACAAAGGAGCGCACGUUUGGAUGACUACAGAUGAGACGUUAUGUAUUACAAAUAAGAUCAGUACAGAUUUGUUAUUGGAGAUACAGUGCAAGCUGUGUGGAAUCAAAGACCUGUAUGUAUUGAUGAGGCCAGUGUCAGUGAAGAUGGUGUGGUCACUGGAAUCCUGGUGUUUGUGGGAAAUGUGAAGGAGCUUCUCCCAGGAUUCUACAACAGUGUUGUCCUGAUGACUGAGGUAUUUAUUUUUUUUACUUUCUUGCCUCUUUGGAACAUGUUCAUUUAUGCAUACUGUGUAGAGGUGGUUCGCAGCUUCAUGAACAUUUAAGGUUUUCUGCCGAUGAAGAGCUUCUGGGACAUUGACAUAAACAGCACUUCCCUUUCAAGGGAACUCGCGUUGCGUCGAGAAAUUGACGCUGUGGGAACGCAACGCGUUAUGUCGUCAUGAAGCACGUGUGAAAUCCGUCCAAUGGAGUGACGAGACGUCAAAGGCGGGUGACGUCACGACCAG